This 206-nucleotide ribosomal RNA is filed under the name uncultured bacterium. RNAcentral's name for it is "partial 16S ribosomal RNA". It matches the Rfam family "Bacterial small subunit ribosomal RNA", at positions 568 to 774 of the family's 1533-position model. The record is from RNAcentral.
CGCGUAGGCGGCUGGAUAAGUCAGAUGUGAAAGUCCACGGCUCAACUGUGGAAGUGCAUUUGAAACUGUCUGGCUUGAGUAUCGGAGGGGAGUGUGGAAUUCCCGGUGUAGAGGUGAAAUUCGUAGAGAUCGGGAGGAACACCGGUGGCGAAGGCGACACUCUGGACGAAUACUGACGCUGAGGCGCGAAAGCGUGGGAGCAAACA